GCCUACAAUGUAGACACUAGAAAGAACAAAGAUGCAGACUCUUAAACAAGAGAAAGGCACAUAAAAACGAGUUUACAACUCAAAUAUCAAUAUGAUAAUUCAAACAACUUCUCCCCUCUUUCUUUAUAAAUACAAGUAUUUAUAGGCUUACAACUUAAAGUGAAAAAUAUGAAAAGACAUAAAAAGAUAAAGGCUUAAAAUAUAACUCCUUAAAAACUAAAUGAUUUCAUAAAAUGUCAUUAACCUAGGAAUUCCAUAAGCCACAAAUUUAAAGCUAGAUACGUGCAUUAUAACUCUAAAAAUGCAUGUAUUAUAUUAUAAAACUUAAAUCUCAGCUACCAGUAAUUUUAUGUAAUAACACCUUUAGUCCUUGGCCUGCAUCAUUCUCGUGGGGUUGGAGAGAAUUCGUCCUCGAAUUUGGAUCAUCAUUUGAUUUGGAGUGAUAAAAUUGAAUUAUGCCGGUCCAAACAAAUGGAUAUUUGGAGCAUUUAAUAUUGACUGUUGAAGUGUGAAAAGCACCCUUAAUAGCAUACCUCGCAACCUUGACAUUCUUUUUCAUUUAAUUUAUAAUGUCAACCAAAACUUUGGAAAUUCUGAAGUAGAAAACAUCAACCCCAAUAAAAUCAACAUAUCUUGAAGUUUCUAAUGAACUCAUUAAAUCAUGAAACCCCAACUUCACAAAUUCUUUGUAAUCAGCAUUUUUAAUAAUUAGACAAGAUUCCAUAUCAACAUUUCGUUGAACCACACAAGAACUUUGACAACAAACCUGAUAAGUACCAUAUGGAGAAUGAUCAAACUCGGGAAGAAGAUCAAGAUUUACGAGACAAUCACCUGAAUAAUUUUCACAACAUAUUGGACAUGAAUUAUCCAAGCAACGAUCAAAUAUUGGAGGAAGGUCCAGAUUAAGAUCUUCAUCUAAUGGCAUCUGCGACAUGCUGAACAUAGCGUUACCCUUCGAUCAAGCUGACGCUCUAAUACCAACUGAUGUAGGGCACAGCAAACAAAAAAGAAUAAAAUGAAAUGAGAACAAAAAAUUAGGAUAAAAAGGAUGGAUAGGUAGGGUUCACUAUCUCCUAGUGCGAGGAGAGGCCUGAAAACCCUAUAAACUUUGGUUAUAGUACCAGCCUACAAUGUAGACACUAGAAAGAACAAAGAUGCAGACUCUUAAACAAGAGAAAGGCACAUAAAAAUGAGUUUACAACUCAAAUAUCAAUAUGAUAAUUCAAACAACUUCUCCCCUCCUUCUUUAUAAAUACAAGUAUUUAUAGGCUUACAACUUAAAGUGAAAAAUAUGAAAAGACAUAAAAGAUAAAGGCUAACAAUAUAACUCCUAAAAAACUAAAUGAUUUCAUAAAAUGUCAUUAACCUAGGAAUUC
RNAcentral lists this long non-coding RNA (1376 nucleotides) under Malus domestica (apple). RNAcentral describes it as "long non-coding RNA (MDOM_LNC002698)". The record is from RNAcentral. Lineage: Eukaryota; Viridiplantae; Streptophyta; Magnoliopsida; Rosales; Rosaceae.